Molecule: long non-coding RNA, 388 nt
Filed under: Capsicum annuum
Lineage: Eukaryota; Viridiplantae; Streptophyta; Magnoliopsida; Solanales; Solanaceae
Description: long non-coding RNA (CANN_LNC009379)
Source: RNAcentral
AAAAUUGCUAGUACUACCUAUUAAUUCGUAUAGAAAGUCUUGCAAUAUGGCAGCAGUAUUGUAUGCAUAUAGAGCAUAAUUUUCCGCCGAACAGUCGCCAAAGGCUGGCUCCGCCCCUGCACGUCUUCAUUGUGUGUGGUGUUGUGAACCAACACCCCUCGGAUACCUAUUGCACCCGCUUUGGUUGUUGAACGACUUUGAUCUUACAUGUCAGAAUUAUAGAACAAGUUUGAUCAGCAAUUGGUGUGUAUUUGAGUUAUAUUUAUACAUACGUGUUAUACAAUAAAGAAGGAACUUAUUGGUAUCUUUAGGUUAAUUAUAGGAGCAUUCUGUAUAAACUGUGGGAAACAUCAUCGCGUUUGUAACGUUUUGUAUUUUAAGUGAUCAA